This 468-nucleotide ribosomal RNA is filed under the name uncultured bacterium. Its description in RNAcentral is "partial 16S ribosomal RNA". It matches the Rfam family "Bacterial small subunit ribosomal RNA", at positions 28 to 507 of the family's 1533-position model. The record is from RNAcentral.
GAUGAACGCUGGCGGCGUGCUUAACACAUGCAAGUCGAACGGAAAGGCUCCUGCUUGCAGGGGUACUCGAGUGGCGAACGGGUGAGUAACACGUGGGUGAUCUGCCCUGUACUUCGGGAUAAGCUUGGGAAACUGGGUCUAAUACCGGAUAGGACAACUUUUUGGAUAUUGUUGUGGAAAGCUUUUGCGGUAUGGGAUGAGCUCGCGGCCUAUCAGCUUGUUGGUGGGGUAAUGGCCUACCAAGGCGUCGACGGGUAGCCGGCCUGAGAGGGUGUACGGCCACAUUGGGACUGAGAUACGGCCCAGACUCCUACGGGAGGCAGCAGUGGGGAAUAUUGCACAAUGGGCGCAAGCCUGAUGCAGCGACGCCGCGUGGGGGAUGAAGGCCUUCGGGUUGUAAACUCCUUUCGCUAGGGACGAAGCUUUUUUGUGACGGUACCUGGAGAAGAAGUACCGGCUAACUACGUG